ACGCUGGCGGCGUGCCUAACACAUGCAAGUCGAGCGGAGAAUGCAGAUAUGUUUACAUAGAAGUAUUCUUAGCGGCGGACGGGUGAGUAACACGUGGGUAACCUGCCUCAUAGAGGGGAAUAGCCUUUCGAAAGGAAGAUUAAUACCGCAUAAGAUUGUAGUAUCGCAUGAUACAGCAAUUAAAGGAGUAAUCCGCUAUGAGAUGGACCCGCGUCGCAUUAGCUAGUUGGUGAGGUAACGGCUCACCAAGGCGACGAUGCGUAGCCGACCUGAGAGGGUGAUCGGCCACAUUGGGACUGAGACACGGCCCAGACUCCUACGGGAGGCAGCAGUGGGGAAUAUUGCACAAUGGGGGAAACCCUGAUGCAGCAACGCCGCGUGAGUGAUGACGGUCUUCGGAUUGUAAAACUCUGUCUUCAGGGACGAUAAUGACGGUACCUGAGGAGGAAGCCACGGCUAACUACGUG
This 467-nucleotide ribosomal RNA is filed under the name uncultured bacterium. RNAcentral describes it as "bacterial SSU rRNA". It matches the Rfam family "Bacterial small subunit ribosomal RNA", at positions 33 to 507 of the family's 1533-position model. The record is from RNAcentral.